This 424-nucleotide ribosomal RNA is filed under the name uncultured prokaryote. RNAcentral's name for it is "bacterial SSU rRNA". It matches the Rfam family "Bacterial small subunit ribosomal RNA", at positions 355 to 796 of the family's 1533-position model. The record is from RNAcentral.
UGGGGAAUAUUGGACAAUGGGGGCAACCCUGAUCCAGCAAUGCCGCGUGAGUGAAGAAGGCCCUAGGGUUGUAAAACUCUUUCACUGAUGAAGAUGAUGACGGUAAUCAGAGAAGAAGCCCCGGCUAACUCCGUGCCAGCAGCCGCGGUAAUACGGAGGGGGCUAGCGUUGUUCGGAUUUACUGGGCGUAAAGCGCACGUAGGCGGCGUGACAAGUCAGAGGUGAAAGCCCUGGGCUCAACCUGGGAACGGCCUUUGAGACUGUCAUGCUUGAGUUCGGGAGAGGGUAGUGGAAUUCCAAGUGUAGAGGUGAAAUUCGUAGAUAUUUGGAAGAACACCGGUGGCGAAGGCGGCUACCUGGUCCGAUACUGACGCUGAGGUGCGAAAGCGUGGGGAGCGAACAGGAUUAGAUACCCCCGUAGUCC